UACGAACGGGGCUAGCGUUGUUCGGAAUCACUGGGCGUAAAGCGCACGCAGGCGGAUCGAUAAGUCGGGGGUGAAAGGCCGGGGCUCAACCUCGGAAUUGACUUCGAUACUGUCGGUCUCGAGUCCGGGAGAGGUGAGUGGAAUUCCUAGUGUAGAGGUGAAAUUCGUAGAUAUUAGGAAGAACACCAGUGGCAAAGGCGGCUCACUGGCCCGGUACUGACGCUCAGGUGCGAAAGCGUGGGGAGCAAACAGG
RNAcentral lists this ribosomal RNA (253 nucleotides) under uncultured bacterium. RNAcentral's name for it is "partial 16S ribosomal RNA". It matches the Rfam family "Bacterial small subunit ribosomal RNA", at positions 524 to 776 of the family's 1533-position model. The record is from RNAcentral.